AGGCAGAAUGCAUUAGCGCUGCGCGUCGUCAACGGGAUUAAAUGUCAUUGAUGAAAAUCCUCGUUUAAUCGCUUGAGAACUACUCUCGUUUAGCCAAUUCAAUGAAAGCCACAAACUUUCCGUCGCACUUAACGCGCUUUUUAUUUUUUGGAACAGGCGGAUAAGGUCAGAUGUCUUUUUUUUUAAAGUUUUGAAUCUUCUUCAUCGUGCCAUGCAACUUGAGGGGCAAAAGUCAACCGUCAGAUCUAAGCAGCUUUGGGCCGUUGGAUAUAUAGAACUGUGUCGCUGAUUUGUCCGUUCAGGUCGCUUACCUACACAACCUGUCUGUCUGCUGAAACAACCUCACCUCUAUUAAGCACUCAGGCACAAGCUGGUCUAAACCGCCGGGGUCCAGGAAAAACGUUUAAACUAUGAUAUAAUUAGUCUGGGUGCUUCUACAUAUUUGAAGGAGACACUAACUGCAUUGCUUGAAUUUCAGAGUCAUUUUCUUGGGAAAUCGGAAAGCGCAUUCAGAAAACAUUUGUCUCUACGACUCUCCGCGGGUCUGGUGCUGAUCUCCUGCAACAACAAAAACAUCAGUCCUGGAUGGGUCUCACUCAAGAAGAGGAAACGUAGCGAUUUUUAGCACAGACCAGACACCGGACCACGCGUGCUGCAGGACGACCGGGAAUAAUGCAUAGAUGAAACCCCAUUCCAGUAACGCCGUUCUCGCACGGAAAAGGCGUCGCAGAGGGAAUUUGUCUCCAGGCGACAAUGUCAGACAACUUCACCGAUUUCGAAUUCAACAACACGACGCCGCCGGUGGCUGCUGCCGUGGCUCCAGACUACAACUUUCCAGCUCUUAUAUUCGGGAUAUUGCUAAUCAUUGUGAUUAUCGGUGGAAAUGUGCUUGUGUGUCUUAGUGUUUACAUGGAAAAAGCUUUAAAAACUACAACAAACUAUUUCAUUGUGAGUUUGGCUGUUGCGGACCUACUCUUGGCAGUGCUGGUGCUGCCACUGUUCGUGUUCGCAGAGUUCCAGGGUGGUGUGUGGUCCCUGGACAUGAUGCUGUGUGUUGUGUUCAGUUCCAGGGUGGUGUGUGGUCCCUGAACAUGAUGCUGUGUGUUGUGUUCAGUUCCAGGGUGGUGUGUGGUCCCUGGACAUGAUGCUGUGUGACGGUCUGAUGUCCAUGGAUGUGAUGCUGUGCACAGCCUCCAUCUUCAACCUCUGUGCCAUCAGCGUCGACAGGCUUCCUAGCUGUGUAAUUAUCAACAGUCCCAACUAUCCACAUCGUGUCCAGGACUAACGAUAUCUGAAGCGUU
RNA transcript from Oncorhynchus keta (chum salmon), 1301 nucleotides. It is a transcript of the gene named D(4) dopamine receptor-like, with no coding region annotated. The transcript is spliced from 3 exons. Lineage: Eukaryota; Metazoa; Chordata; Actinopteri; Salmoniformes; Salmonidae. The record is from RefSeq and is a predicted model, not a curated record.